This 200-nucleotide long non-coding RNA is filed under the name Fukomys damarensis (Damara mole-rat). RNAcentral's name for it is "lncRNA (ENSFDAG00000028152.1)". The record is from RNAcentral. Lineage: Eukaryota; Metazoa; Chordata; Mammalia; Rodentia; Bathyergidae.
GAGAUCUCAGGCUCACACACAGCAGUGAAGCGCAGCUUUCUCCUGCUUUUGAACUUUUGUCCUCACACCUCUGUGGAGAUGGUGUGCUAUUCUCCAGUGGUAGAGCUGAGGAAAUGUUGCUACAUGUGUGAAUUUGACUCAACAUGAAACAAAUAGACGAAAUCCAGGUAACAUGCUAUUUGCAUUUAAAUCUACACAGU